This 255-nucleotide ribosomal RNA is filed under the name Staphylococcus aureus. RNAcentral describes it as "partial 23S ribosomal RNA". It matches the Rfam family "Bacterial large subunit ribosomal RNA", at positions 245 to 495 of the family's 2925-position model. Lineage: Bacteria; Bacillati; Bacillota; Bacilli; Caryophanales; Staphylococcaceae. The record is from RNAcentral.
AGCGGCGAGCGAAACGGGAAGAGCCCAAACCAACAAGCUUGCUUGUUGGGGUUGUAGGACACUCUAUACGGAGUUACAAAGGACGACAUUAGACGAAUCAUCUGGAAAGAUGAAUCAAAGAAGGUAACAAUCCUGUAGUCGAAAAUGUUGUCUCUCUUGAGUGGAUCCUGAGUACGACGGAGCACGUGAAAUUCCGUCGGAAUCUGGGAGGACCAUCUCCUAAGGCUAAAUACUCUCUAGUGACCGAUAGUGAAC